UACAGAGGGUGCAAGCGUUAAUCGGAAUUACUGGGCGUAAAGGGCGCGUAGGUGGGUGAAUAAGUCUGAUGUGAAAGACCUGGGCUCAACCGAGGGAUUGCAUUGGAUACUGUGCAUCUAGAGUGAAUCAGAGGAUAGCGGAAUUUCCGGUGUAGCGGUGAAAUGCGUAGAUAUCGGAAAGAACACCAGUGGCGAAGGCGGCUAUCUGGGAUUCAACUGACACUGAGGCGCGAAAGCGUGGGGAGCAAACAGG
This 253-nucleotide ribosomal RNA is filed under the name uncultured bacterium. RNAcentral describes it as "partial 16S ribosomal RNA". It matches the Rfam family "Bacterial small subunit ribosomal RNA", at positions 524 to 776 of the family's 1533-position model. The record is from RNAcentral.